This 3570-nucleotide long non-coding RNA is filed under the name Nilaparvata lugens (brown planthopper). Its description in RNAcentral is "uncharacterized LOC120352685". The record is from RNAcentral. Lineage: Eukaryota; Metazoa; Arthropoda; Insecta; Hemiptera; Delphacidae.
GCAAUACACCAUACACCUUACUAACGUACACUUGUUACUGAUUAUUAAAUAAAAUUCCUCUAAUCAACCCAUAAUUACAUAAAAGAUAAAUCAAUAAUUUUCAUUUUAUCUGUUUCUGUUUUAUAUAGUAUUUUCUUGUAUCAAUGAUAAAUAAUGUCUUCCAAUAAUGAUACAGUAUCUAUUAAAAAAAUUAGUAGUUAUAACAGUACGUAAUAGAUUUAAUUUUCUUUAUUCUAUUUAAAUAUACUCAAUAAUAUAGAUUUAUUGUGUAUUACACAAAAUAUAUUCAAUAACAUAGAUUAACAAAAUAUGGUCUGAAAUCUAUUAGAUGUAUAUUUUCUUAAGUCGCCUGGAUAAGAGAAUUAUGUACGCUAUUAGACCUAUUGAUGAUCUAAAUUCUAAAUCAAUGCUACAUCGAUAUUUUUUUUUAUUGAAAAAGUAAAAAUUAGAUGUGAAUAUCGAUAAAGAUAUUAUUCUUUACCAAAGUUGAUUUAUUCAAGAAUGUUAGAAUUAAAUACAAGAGCAACUAAUUGCUUAUUAAUUGAGAUAGGUUGAUGGCAGAGUUUGAGUAUCAAUACAUUAUUAAUAACUCUAAUUCUAGAGUGAAAAAAUAAAUAAAAGUUUAAAUCUUCCACUGUUAUUUCAAUACUAAAUUAUACCAAUAAAAAUUUUUAAUUAUUUGUGGAAAUAAAUACAGCAAAAUAAAUACAAGUUUAAAUCUUCCACUGCUAUUUCAAUACUAAAUUGAACGAAAAAAAAUUGAAUUAUUUGUGGAACUACAGUAUCGCAUUAUUAUUUGGAAUUAUUCUAUUACAUAUUUAUCGCAUUAUUAUGUGGAAUUAUUCUAUUACAUAUUUUUAUUAUAGCAAUAAAUAAAUAGUGUUCGGACACCUUGAAUCUUUCUCUAAUAAUAGGAUUUCUCACUGCAGUUUACAGUAUUUCCAUUUCAUGUUUUCAAUAGUUUGUUGAAUGUUAUCAGUUAACUUAGUUGUAAAAAGGGAACGUGGGUGUUUCAGUGCGGAAGUACAAAUUUUUUCUUCCUUUGAUAAGAGAGCAUUCCACUUGCGGGUAGAUUUGACACUUUCCCCAGUACAAAAAAUACAUUUUGGAAGGAUUUAUAAUCGAGACUUGUUGAAGUGAACAGUGUUUGGUCACUCUGCAAUAUUUUUCCAUCACAUCCCGAUCGCCAUUGAAAAUCGUAAUCGUCAUAGAGAAAAGACCCAAGGUACCUGGCAACCUCCACAUCAAUUUUCGCCAGUUUGUAAUUCGAGAUCAUUGCGGAAGUUUCCUUUUCGGACACCUGCCCGUCUUCAAUAAAAUUAGUGAAAUGGAAAUGUUCUUUAUGAGAAUGUUAUUAUACCGAAUUAUCCAUGAGAAAUAUUACUAUUUUAUUAUCGUUUUAUUGUAUUAUUUUAUUCUUUUAUUAAUUUAUAAUUUUAUUAUUUUGUUAUACAAUUAUUCCAUUAUUUUAUUACUUUAUUAUUUUAAUAUUUCAUUAUUAUAUUUAUUAUGAUUCUAUUAUAAUUAUUCUUAUCUUAUUCUAAGAGUUCUCUUGUCACAUGAAUGAUAAAGGAGCACGAUAAGAUUUAAUCCUGCCACUAUAAUCAUUAUUUUCAACAAUCUAACAAUUUAUUUUGCAUAUCCAAGAGGGACUUCUAGAAUUAAGGCAGUCAUUAGAAGACACUUCUGCAGCAAAGCUGAGCUCUUUCAUUGUUCCAUCUUACAAUCUAUCAUUGAUAAUGCAACUAGUAGUGAGUAAAUUACAAACACUGGGUUAUGAUUGUUAACCAUUACUGAUAGGGAUUGAAUUUGAGUAUUAUCAUAUUGUAACCGUACACGCUGCCUCGACUAUCAAUGGAAUCUGCCUAUUCCGUGGCAUUGCUCUCAACUUAGCUAACCGUUACUUCACUCUUUACUCUAUGAAAUCCCUUCCUUUCCUUGACACAAAAAGCAAUCAACACAUUGUGACAAAAUUGGAAAAAACUGAUUGUUUCUAAUGUACAGCCACAUAUAUAUGUAACUAUGUCUCACAGUGAUGUUAGUAAGUGGAGCAGUUCAUAGACUGUGCUUUCGUGUGACUAAGCUUUGUUUUUACAUUCGAACAACAGUGUUCAUAAAAAACAGACGUGUAUUUCAAAUGUUACACAUGUGAAGAGCAAUUUGGACGAAAAUAUUGUGACAAAUACAAACUUGUAGGCUACUUGAAUCAUGUGACAAUACUUCCAUUUAUGUGAGAAGGACUUGGUCACCUACAUCGUCUCGAGGAAUCUAUAGCAUUGUAUCGUCUUGUCAUCAUUAUCGCAGGUAUUGAACACUAAUUUGCUUGUACUGUGAGUGUCUUUUAAUAAAGUGACGUUGAUCCACUCUUCCCCUUGCGCGCUACGCUUACUCUCUUCCGGGAGAGCGAUGUAUGAUAACUCUGUAACUUCACUUUGUUUCACCAUAUUUCUGGUGCGGCUUGGAGUAACUGUCGAGUGAAUAGGACGCAUUUGUGGAUCACCUCUCGUUCUCUCCACUCUGUCCCUCCAAGCCGCACCAAGGGUUCCAGUAUCUUCUUGAGGAAACUGUAGCAUCUUAGAGUGUCAAGAUGUUAACAGGUGAUAAACACGAACUUUUAUUUGAAUCGGUGCCUCCUCUUUUCCUUCUCACUUCAAAACCAUGUGAGGUCCAGCCAUUUUAGACCUAUAACAGCCUCCUCUAUUCCUAUUCCACGAAAACCCGAAAGAAUAUCUAACCUUAAAAUGCCCAUAAAAGGCCCAUAGUGAAGUUAUUGACAGUAAAGUUUUACAAUUCUGUAGUCUAUUGAAUAAUUGGAAACGAUGGAAAAAAUUAUUCCUCGAGAGAUUUUUUUCUGACUUCUUAUGGAAAACAACACAACAUGGUAACAUCUUCAUAUUGAAUCUCAUCAUCAUAAUUAUUAAUAAAAAAAAACUUUUUUUUAUAAUUAUUAAUGUCAAGAAAUAUAGUCUAGGAGUUGCCUUUGUCUAUCAUUUCGUUGAAAUUUUGACUGAUGAUAAAAAUAUUGUUUUAUAACAUUCAAUUAGUUUUCAAUUCAAUUCAAAUCUUCUAUAAGUCUUCAAGACCGUGCUCUAUAACUCACAUUGAGUUCCACUGUCUAACAAGCACAGAAAAAUCAUAAAUAUAAACUAAGUCAGAGUUUACAAUACAGUGCAAUCAAUUACAUGUAAUUAAUACUAUAUUACAAUUUAUGGCUUAAUACUGUAUACCGUAUAUAAUAUUCAUUCAUCCUUGAGCUAAUGUAAUGUUCUACUUCUUCAAUGGUAUAGCCUACUACUUAAUGUUAUUAUUUAUGCUAAUAUUACAAAACACAUUGAAAUUAUUGGAAGAGGAAGGCAAAUAUUGAGCGAUUUAUUUCCCAAAUUUCAUUCUAAUGUUAUUCUAUUAUAUAUUUUCAUUACAUUAUUGAUUUAAAAUUGAAACUUAUUCAACUGCAUAGUAUUUGUAAUCAAUCUACUUGUAACUCAUGAAUCACUAAAAUGAUGACUGCAUAGUUUUAUAAACAUUCUACUUGUAAUUCAUUAAUUACUAAAAUAAAUGAUUGAUUUGAUC